CCUACGGGCGGCAGCAGUGGGGGAUCUUGCACAAUGGGGGAAACCCUGAUGCAGCGACGCCGCGUGUGGGAAGACGGUCUUCUGGAUUGUAAACCACUGUCUCCAGGGACGAAAAUGAUGGUACCUGGGGAGGAAGCUCCGGCUAACUACGUGCCAGCAGCCGCGGUAAUACGUAGGGAGCAAGCGUUGUCCGGAAUUACUGGGUGUAAAGGGAGCGUAGGCGGGGAUGCAAGUUGGGUGGCAAAACUACCGGCUCAACCGAUAGUCGCACUCAAAACUGCAGCUCUUGAGUGAAGUAGAGGCAGGCGGAAUUCCUAGUGUAGCGGUGAAAUGCGUAGAUAUUAGGAGGAACACCAGUGGCGAAGGCGGCCUGCUGGGCUUUUACUGACGCUGAGGCUCGAAAGUGUGGGGAGCAAACAGGAUUAGAUACCCGAGUAGUC
Molecule: ribosomal RNA, 440 nt
Filed under: uncultured bacterium
Lineage: Bacteria
Description: partial 16S ribosomal RNA
Rfam family: Bacterial small subunit ribosomal RNA
Source: RNAcentral